Molecule: ribosomal RNA, 418 nt
Filed under: uncultured bacterium
Lineage: Bacteria
Description: partial 16S ribosomal RNA
Rfam family: Bacterial small subunit ribosomal RNA
Source: RNAcentral
UUGGACAAUGGGGGCAACCCUGAUCCAGCCAUCCCGCGUGUGCGAUGAAGGCCUUCGGGUUGUAAAGCACUUUUGGCAGGGAAGAAAAGGCUUUGGCUAAUACCUGGAGCUGCUGAUGGUACAUGCAGAAUAAGCCCCGGCUUACUACGCGCCACAAGCCGCAGCAAUACGUAGGGUGCAAGCGUCAAUCGGAAUUACUGGGCGUAAAGCGUGCGCAGGCGGUUCGGCAAGAAGGAUGUGAAAUCCCAGGGCUUAACCUUGGAACUGCAUUCUUAACUGCCGGGCUAGAGUAUGUCAGAGGGGGGUAGAAUUCCGCGUGUAGCAGUGAAAUGCGUAGAGAUGCGGAGGAAUACCGAUGGCGAAGGCAGCCCCCUGGGAUAAUACUGACGCUCAUGCACGAAAGCGUGGGGAGCAAACA